Molecule: long non-coding RNA, 692 nt
Organism: Labeo rohita (rohu)
Lineage: Eukaryota; Metazoa; Chordata; Actinopteri; Cypriniformes; Cyprinidae
Exons: 4
Source: RefSeq, a predicted model, not a curated record
AUCAGUGGACCGACGCAAACUCCAGAAACUCCAGAAUCAAAUCAGCUGUUAUGGAUUUUUGCUCUUGUUAUCAUCGUUCUUCUCAUCAUAUUCUUGAUCUGUUUCUUGGUGCGGAAAAGGAAAACCAGAUGUUUUCAGAGGGAAGGCACAGAACAACUUUGAAAACAGGGAUCUUCAAUCUGCUGUGCAAAUGAUCUGAUGAUCCUCACUGACUGCACUUCAACAGCUCCGUCUCCAGUGUUUCAUCACAUCAAUCAUUGAAUGCUGUUCAGUCUGUUACUUUUGUGCAGAGACAGAUUAUGUUACGGCCAGACAUAAAGGGGGCAAUACAAAAAGCCUCAGUUUAUAGGGGAAUUUAUGCAUAACAUAAACAGUGUUGGAAAGGUUACUUUGGAAAUGUACAGAUUACAAGUUACUUGAUUUAAAAUUUAAUAAGCAGUGUAACUUUUUAUGCCUUUUAUUGUGAUAGGACAGUAGAGAAAUGACCUCAAGAUGGGAUUCGAACUCAGUAGCGCAAUUGCACUAUAUGUCGACGCACUAACCGUGAGGCUAGUGGAGCUGACGCCACUUAACAGCUCUUAUUUAGUUUGAGCUCAUUGUGAGGUUCAAUACAGUUUGAAAUUAUAACAAGAAAUAGUUUAAUAGCUGUGGGUUUGAAAUCAAAUGUUUGCAUAGUUAUGACAGAAAACACU